Coffea arabica (coffee) is the source of this 3158-nucleotide non-coding RNA. The record is from RefSeq and is a predicted model, not a curated record. Lineage: Eukaryota; Viridiplantae; Streptophyta; Magnoliopsida; Gentianales; Rubiaceae.
UGAAGAAAUUGAUUAUCUCUUUCGGCCGUCGGAGAACAAAGGCGUACGCUUCGAACAGUUCUGGGCUACAUGUCAAGCAGUGAAGGUGGGUUAAGUUAAACAGAGGAAAGGGACUUUUACGAUUGGCAUCGGGCUUUUGGAGGCCUGCUUAAGUAAAUGUUGGUUCAACUGGCUGAUUUUGAAGCACGAAUUGGACUUCUAAAAGAGGCUUAUAGUAUUUUGGAGCAAGAAGAGGGAUGUUGCUCAUGGCCCCGUGGCCUUUGUAAUCAUGCUUUAAUUUUCAAGAAAUGUUAUUUGCACUUUUAUUUUUGUGUUUACUGCAGUAUGAGACUGAUGGCUCAAACGACUACAACAAUUUUCAGCCUGGUUCCCUGAAUACUACUUUGCAGCUGAUUAAAGACAUAAAGAACAUUGAUAUAGUUUUCCAUAUUGGAGAUAUUUGUUAUUCUAGUGGGUAUAUUUCCCAGUGGGAUCAAUUUACUUCUCAAAUUGAGCCGAUUGCUUCAAGAGUACCUUAUAUGAUUGCGAGUGGAAACCAUGAGCGUGACUGGCCUGACUCAGGUUCAUUCUACGGUUACAUGGAUUCAGGAGGAGAAUGUGGAGUGCUGGCUGAAACAAUGUUUUACGUUCCUGCUGAGAACAGGGCCAAGUUCUGGUAUUCUACCGACUAUGGCAUGUUUAGGUUCUGCAUAGCUGAUACUGAACAUGAUUGGAGAGAAGGAACGGAGCAAUACAAAUUCAUUGAGCACUGCCUGGCAUCUGUAGACAGACGGAAGCAACCUUGGUUGAUCUUUUUGGCACAUCGUGUUCUUGGUUAUUCUUCAAGCUUUUGGUAUACCUACAGAGGAACAUUUGCAGAACCAAUGGGAAAGGAGGAUCUUCAAAAACUUUGGCAGAAAUAUAAAGUUGACAUUGCCAUUUUCGGGCAUGUUCAUAAUUAUGAACGAACAUGUCCCAUAUACCAGAAUACUUGUACAAACAAUGAGAAGCACUUCUACAAGGGCAUCUUAAAUGGGACUAUACACGUGGUUGCUGGAGGAGGAGGGGCAGGCCUUUCUGACUUUUCUAGCAUUGUACCUUUGUGGAGCAUCUACAGGGACUUUGAUUAUGGAAUUUCCAGGGGCUACAGAGAUAUCUUGGCUUGCACAGUGGAUAGCUGCUCAAGUAAGACCCUGACAUUUUGAGUGGGAUUAUUCAAGUGGUGCCCAGCCAGAAAAACGAUAAAUGGCACUUCAAGCCACAAGCAGCGUUCAGACAAACCCCUGGCCAUUUACGGCCACAUUUUCCAUGUAAGGCACUUGGAAAAAUGGCUUACCCAGGCAAAAUGAGAGGGGGGAAAAAAGGAAAAAAUGGCCGGAAGAUCAUCUUGUUUGGCAAAUUGUACAACAAUUUUGAGCAUACUCUUCUCUUGAUUCAAGGGUUUUUCUAUUUUUAAGUUUCUCUCAAGUUUGUUAUGUUCUAAGCCACUUACUUAUGGCAUCCUAAUGGUCCAAUUUGACGAAAAAUAACAGAAAUUUUGCAGUCAGUUGUAAGGCGGUUUUGUUUUUCAAGGAAGAAGGGAAAACGUAUGGAUUUAUGGAUUGUGGCAGCAGCUGCUGGUGCCGGCUAUCUGGGCAAACACCUGCAGAACUUAUCACUGAGUGAGAAGGAAAAAUUAGUGGAAUCCUAUUCCAAAAUCUCAAACCUCAGGCAAUCAGAACCCCAGAAUUUUCUUCAGCAAAUUAGGGACAACACUUGUCCUUUACGCAGAUUGGCACAAAAAGAUGCACAUAUGGAAGCUGCUUCCGAGCAAAAUGAUGUUUUGGACAGGCCUUUGGAAAUGGAUCAAUUUAACGGUGGUUCAGUUUCACUACUUACAAGGGCAUCCAUCAGUGGAAGUGUUAGAAUGGUGGAAGAUAUGAAUGUACUAAAGUUAUCUAGUCCAGCACCCGGACUUGGCGAAAGCAAAAGCUGUUCAAACGAUAUGGAGUUUAUGUAUGGUAGUAGUCGGAGUUCUGCAAGACUUAGCAGGUAUGAAUUACUUAAAAGUAGGUCUUCCGGCUCCGGGCAUGUUCUUGAACCUUUAGGUUCUGUAGAAAAUCAUCUUCAAAAGAUAGGUGACUCUGCGCAUAGUUCACUUCCAACACCGCUUGCUCCAACAAAAGGACUAAUGUUGGUAUCUAAUGGAGAUCGAAUUUUGAGACGAUAUAUUGGUAAUUCACUUGAUUCAUUGUCUACUGAUGUGGAAGAUAACCCGAGUGAUGCCUGCCAUAACGACAGUUGUGCCUUUUCGAGUGCUCCAUCCUUUUAUGACACUGAAUCAGUCGAGUUGCAAGAGCAGGUCAAACGAAAAAGUUCCCAAGAAAAGUUGCUUGGCGGAGCAGAUCAGUCAUCAGGUUCUUCUGCUUGUUCUGCAGUGAUGAAAUUAUUUGGUGUCUAAUUCUCUACUGAAUCCUUUAUUUCUGCAGGGAUGUUUAAACUGAAUGCUUGUCCUAUUGACUGUUAAGAAAUGUAAAUAUGGAACAUUCACGAUUAAGAAACGUAGAUAGUACAAUGUGUUGGUGUGUUCUUUUACACUCUUUAAUUUUGUUAUUCCUUUUAUCACAAUGUCAUCAGAGCUACCCAGCGGGAUGCUCCUGUUCUUGAUUGGGUUGACAAUUGGCAUAACGCCUGAAGUUUUUACUUAUACAAGGGAAGUUAAGAAGCUGAAUGAGAAACUAAAACUGGCCGAGAAUUUAGUUCAAGAUUUACAGGAGGAGCUUGAUAUGAAAGAUAAGCUUACUGUGAAGGAGCUUGCCGGGGAAAUUUCUCAGCCUCUGAGCACAAAGAAUCUCUCUUCAUUCAAUGAGGAGCCUACUGUGUCGUGCUCUGAUCCAGGUGAUGACAGCAAAUUGUCCAUGAGUAAAAUUGAGGCAGAACUUGAAGCUGAGCUGGGGAGGCUGGGAAUACAUAUGGAUCUGGAAAGAACAUCCGACUUUGGGGAGGAAAGCAUUUUUUUUUUCUGAAACGAUAAAAAUUUUAUAUCAUUGUAAACUGUACAAAUUUGGAGCAAAGGCUCCUAUCUUUACAAAAGUGCAUUUAGCACUAUGUAGUGGCGUAGUUCCACUCCAUGUCACAAAAAUUCAAAAGAGCAAUUUUGCUCAAACUAUAGCAUAAGCUAUCAGUAUCUUCAUUCUAAC